GGGCCCAUAGCUCAGCGGUAGAGCAGCCGGCUCAUAACCGGUCGGUCCCUGGUUCGAAUCCAGGUGGGCCCACCA
RNAcentral lists this transfer RNA (75 nucleotides) under Bacillota bacterium. RNAcentral's name for it is "tRNA-Met". It matches the Rfam family "tRNA". Rfam says of the family: Transfer RNA (tRNA) molecules are approximately 80 nucleotides in length. Their secondary structure includes four short double-helical elements and three loops (D, anti-codon, and T loops). The record is from RNAcentral. Lineage: Bacteria; Bacillati; Bacillota.